GCUGGAACAAUGACAGCCUAAUUGAAAGCAUGUGACCACAAUUUUAAACCCGUGAUGUGAUUGCUCCUUUCAAGCCCUGCUAUGAGCCAUGCGGAAGGUAAAAUGUUUGUCUAAGGCAUGGAUGGUUCAGAGGCAGUUCACUUGUCUGUGCAGUACCAAAGGCCAGUGAGAAUACAGCAGGAAUAUUUCUAGCACAGUCUAACAGAAUUUUCAUCCAUCAAGAAUCAAGGGACAUCAGUGAUGCUCUGCCGGCUGCUUAUCCUGAAGCCAACAGAUAGGGGGACCCUGACCCUUGUGGAAGUGUUGGAAAGACUUUGGCAUGCUAGGACCCCCAGGAUUGAUGGAUAACCUCUGGUACAGAAGUUAAGCUGACUGGUGUGAUGGGGUCAGGCCAGACAGCUACAGGAGGUGCCAUAGAUGCCAUCAACAUGUAAGGGAAGGGCCAAAGCCCCCUCAAACCAGGAAGUUAGCCAGCUCCAGGCAGUAACAGUAGCACCUGUGACAGAGAACACAUGAGACUGAACACACACAGCCAGGGU
This is a long non-coding RNA of Mauremys reevesii (Reeves's turtle), 539 nucleotides long. RefSeq lists it as uncharacterized. The transcript is spliced from 5 exons. The record is from RefSeq and is a predicted model, not a curated record. NCBI's taxonomy places the organism in Eukaryota, Metazoa, Chordata, Testudines, Geoemydidae.